Molecule: long non-coding RNA, 172 nt
Organism: Quercus lobata
Lineage: Eukaryota; Viridiplantae; Streptophyta; Magnoliopsida; Fagales; Fagaceae
Exons: 3
Source: RefSeq, a predicted model, not a curated record
UGACAAUUCUGAAGAGGCAAAGCGUCAAAGGAGGAAGCAAGCAAAUAUAGAAUCAGCUAAACGGUCUAGAAAAAGAAAACAAGACUUGAUGAAAAACCUUGAGAAAGAGGUUGAAGUUCUUAAGAAUACAGCCUUAGAAUCAUCACAGGUUCACCGGGAGCUUAAAGAAAAG